This 367-nucleotide ribosomal RNA is filed under the name uncultured bacterium. RNAcentral describes it as "bacterial SSU rRNA". It matches the Rfam family "Bacterial small subunit ribosomal RNA", at positions 527 to 896 of the family's 1533-position model. The record is from RNAcentral.
GUAGGUGGCAAGCGUUGUCCGGAUUUACUGGGCGUAAAGCGUAUGCAGGCGGACCUUUAAGUAGGAAGUGAAAGGUGAGAGCUCAACUCUUACACUGCUCCCUAUACUGGAGGUCUUGAGUACCGGAGAGGACAAGGGAACAGGUCGUGUAGCGGUGAAAUGCGUUGAGAUGACUUGGAACACCAAUGGCGAAAGCACUUGUCUGGACGGAGACUGACGCUGAGAUACGAAAGCCAAGGGAGCGAACAGGAUUAGAUACCCUGGUAGUCUCGGCCAUAAACGAUGUUCACUAGGUGUCGGGGGGACUCCUUCGGUGCCGCAGCUAACGCAUUAAGUGAACCGCCUGGGGACUACGGCCGCAAGGUUG